AGACUUGGAACCGGGAGAGGUAAGAGGUACUACAGGGGUAGGAGUGAAAUCUUGUAAUCCCUGUGGGACCACCUGUGGCGAAGGCGUCUUACCAGAACGGGUUCGACGGUGAGGGACGAAAGCUGGGGGCACGAACCGGAUUAGAUACCCGGGUAGUCCCAGCCGUAAACGAUGCUCGCUAGGUGUCAGGCAUGGCGCGACCGUGUCUGGUGCCGCAGGGAAGCCGUGAAGCGAGCCACCUGGGAAGUACGGCCGCAAGGCUGAAACUUAAAGGAAUUGGCGGGGGAGCACAACAACGGGUGGAGCCCUGCGGUUUAAUUGGACUCAACGCCGGACAACUCACCGGGGGCGACAGCAAUAUGUAGGCCAAGCUGAAGACUUUGACCUGAAUCGCUGAGAAGUGGUGCAUGG
Molecule: ribosomal RNA, 411 nt
Filed under: uncultured archaeon
Lineage: Archaea
Description: bacterial SSU rRNA
Rfam family: Archaeal small subunit ribosomal RNA
Source: RNAcentral